ACUAUUGUCAAAUGGUUCAGAGAGAAGUUCUAAGUUACAAAAUUGGUGGUUCAGGACACAAAUUGUGUGACUAUAUAUAACUGCAACCACAGGACUUCAAUCCCAGCACCCAAACAAUUCCACAUAUGUGAUAAGAUGGGAGAAGGUUGAUCUGCAAAUUCCACUCACACUCAGUACUAUCUUCUUGGAGGUACCUUAUCAUACUGUGCUUCUUAAAAUCUGAAAUCUUCCUCAACCUUGGAAAAGUAAAGUUGAACGUCAUGGAGAUCUACUUGAAUGGACUCAUUAAUUUUUACACCUGAAAGAGAUCAGUGAUCAUUUGAUGAAAUCUCCACAUUUUACAGUGAGUAGCCAUUCUAUUUCUCAAGAUCUGUGUUUUAUUUUUCCAUUCUUUUAUGGAGUGUAGU
This 407-nucleotide long non-coding RNA is filed under the name Rhinopithecus bieti (black snub-nosed monkey). RNAcentral describes it as "lncRNA (ENSRBIG00000046778.1)". Lineage: Eukaryota; Metazoa; Chordata; Mammalia; Primates; Cercopithecidae. The record is from RNAcentral.